GAAGAAUUAGUUAAAUAAUAACAUUAAAAUGUCAAUUUAAAGUUAUCAAAAUCUGAUACUCUUCU
Molecule: transfer RNA, 65 nt
Filed under: Nauphoeta cinerea (gray cockroach)
Lineage: Eukaryota; Metazoa; Arthropoda; Insecta; Blattodea; Blaberidae
Description: tRNA-Asp
Source: RNAcentral